Molecule: long non-coding RNA, 962 nt
Organism: Gambusia affinis (western mosquitofish)
Lineage: Eukaryota; Metazoa; Chordata; Actinopteri; Cyprinodontiformes; Poeciliidae
Exons: 2
Source: RefSeq, a predicted model, not a curated record
UGCUGAUAGUUGAUUAAAAUUAGGUGGAAUCGCCCUUUAUCCAUUUCCUGAGUCAGAAGCUUCAAUCAGAAACCAACUUCAUCUUCGUCUGAAAAAAUCCAGACAACUGAGUUUUUCUCUGAGCUCAACAGGCUGCAGGUUCUUCAGGACAUGAAUAUUCUGGUCCCAGACAUCAGAACCAGCAGAGACUGCAGCACAUGAAUCUGAAGCAGGUUGUUAGGAGAGGUUCUCCACAAGCUCAGACUAAAGGUUCACAGUCUGACAGAGAUGGACAGAGAAAGUCGACCAACUCUGGAUGAAAUGGUUCCUAGAAACAGGGAAGUUUUCUGUGGACUUGACUGCCUGAUCAUAUGGAGCUGCAGCACAUGCAGGAGUUUGAUGUUGGCAGGAAGAAAAACAAAAAGGAAGCAAGUGAUGAGUUUCCAUUUUAGUGUCAUUUCCACUAAUGGAGCAAAUUCCAAGUCAGUCGUCCUCCAAACCACUGAGAGCAGCUUAGAGGAAAACCUGAGUUUGUUGUGACAGUCAGACUCUAUCAGGAUGACCACAGUCUUCUGGCAGAGUUCCUGGACAUUAAGGAGACAUAAAUAAUAGAAAGAUAAUUCAUUAACAGUCCUGCAGUAAAUACUGACUUUGUGAAGGUUUUGGUGUUAAAGUCAUUUUGUUCAGACAUUUUGAUUCAGCUCUUAUUUUGUAGGACCGGAAGUGAGAUCUUACCUUUGUAAUGUUUUAUAUUCAACAAGUUUCAUCAGUUCACUGAAAUCAUUCUCAUGUUUUACCUGGAAAAUAGAUUUAAAAUGGUUCAUCUUCACAAUCCUGUUGUUCCUUUAUGAUAAUGUUCCCGUUUCUGCAGCAUCUCUGAUGAAGGAUUCAGAACUUGAACUAAAUGACCCUCAUCAAUCUGACAGAGAAAAUACUCAAUAUUUUCUAGUUGAUAGUUCAGUAACUGAAUCAGCACAAAAUGA